UGGAAGUAAAAGUUGUAACAAGGUUUCCGUAGGUGAACCUGCGGAAGGAUCAUUAAAAAAUAAUCACGUUUUGUCGUGGUUUUAAUAAUCAUCCUACCCUUUGUGAAUUUGUGUUUUGUUUUGAAACUUAUGUUGUGUCUAUCCCUGGAUUUGGAAGAGUUUUUUUUCGUAAAAAACUUUUUCAUUUCAGGGAAUAGGCUUUCAUAGACCUUUUUUUAAAUUAAACAUUUGUAUUCAUUCGUCUAAAUUUAUUUUUAAUAAUUUAAAAACAACUUUUGACAAUGGAUCUCUUGGUUCUCGCAACGAUGAAGAACGCAGCAAAAUGCGAUAAGUAAUGUGAAUUGCAGAAUACGUGAAUCAUCAAAUCUUCGAACACAUAUUGCACUUUUUUAGUUUACUAAAAAAGUAUGUCUGUUUGAGUAUCAGUAAAAUAUUCUCAUAAAAACAUUUUUUUUUGUUUUUAUGGUUAUGAGUGUUUUACAACGAUAAACAAGUUGUUUCACUUUAAAUUGAUUUUUUUUAAAGCCAAUUUUUUUUUGGUUUUAUUAUAAAAUUGGAUAAAAUUUUCCCGUAAAAAGGAAUAAACUUUUCAGUUUUAGAAUAAACCCAAAUAUUGGUUAUCAAAAAAAAAGGAAAUUUAAAUAAUUAUAAACUAACUUGAUCUCAAAUCAGAUAAGAGUACCCGCUGAACUUAAGCAUAUCAAUAAGCGGAGGAAAAGAAACUAACAAGGAUUCCCUUAGUAACGGCGAGUGAAGCGGGAAGAGCUCAAAUUUGAAAUCUUCAAGGUUCUACCUUGACGAAUUGUAGUUUAAAGAAGUGUUUUCUGCUAGUGGAGUGGCAAAAGUUCUUUGGAAUAGGACAUCAUAGAGGGUGAGAAUCCCGUAUUUGGUCAUUCUUUCUAGCUUUGUGAUACACUUUCAAAGAGUCGGAUUGUUUGGGAAUGCAGUCCAAAAUGGGUGGUAAAUUUCAUCUAAAGCUAAAUAUUGGCGAGAGACCGAUAGCGAACAAGUACCGUGAGGGAAAGAUGAAAAGAACUUUGAAAAGAGAGUUAAACAGUACGUGAAAUUGUCAAAAAGGGAAGCGUUUGACACCAGUGUUGUUUUCCCGAAAAUCAAUUAUGAAUGUUUUGUUUUUGAGGAGUUAUGACUUCAUCGGCUUGCUCCUUUCUUUACGGAACUUUCGUAAUGCACUUUUCGGUUAACAAGUCAACAUCAAUUUCUUUUGUUGUAAAAGGGUACGAGGAAGGUGGCUUUCUUUUCGGAGAAAGUGUUUAUAGCCUUGUGCCUCUGCAAUCGGAGAGAUUGAGGUCUGCAGCGUAGAUCCUUCGGGGCUAGAUACACUUGUGCUAAGUUAUAGCUUUUCAUAGACAACUUGUUGACUAUGUUUAGUCUUGUAGCUUACCCGCUCGUGCUAUUUUACCUACGCUUAGGAUGUUGAU
Molecule: unclassified non-coding RNA, 1439 nt
Filed under: uncultured Neocallimastigales
Lineage: Eukaryota; Fungi; Neocallimastigomycota; Neocallimastigomycetes; Neocallimastigales
Description: partial contains small subunit ribosomal RNA, internal transcribed spacer 1, 5.8S ribosomal RNA, internal transcribed spacer 2, and large subunit ribosomal RNA
Rfam family: Eukaryotic large subunit ribosomal RNA (bases 659-1439)
Source: RNAcentral